This is a long non-coding RNA of Gymnogyps californianus (California condor), 554 nucleotides long. RefSeq lists it as uncharacterized. NCBI's taxonomy places the organism in Eukaryota, Metazoa, Chordata, Aves, Accipitriformes, Cathartidae. The transcript has 3 exons. The record is from RefSeq and is a predicted model, not a curated record.
UUGUUUUGAAGAGGUAUUGAUAUUCUUAAAAAUUGAGAAGUCUAGCUCCAAAUGACAGUCAAGAAGAGGGCAUCAAUCCAUUAAAAGGACAGCGUCAUUUCAUCCACAGUCUCUCAUGACGUGAGCUACGUAAAGAGGUAUGUCAUUCCACCAGUAUGAAGAAGAUAAGCAAGAAGGAAGUUAAUAAAGCAGAAUUUUCUUUGUUACGGAGACUGCAUUUGAGUGGAUUGUAAUGGCAGGUAUGGUGCUGCCAAGGAGAAACAACGCCAGAGAUGCUGCAGAAGCUUGAGGCUUUCCUAUGAAUAACCUGGAGGCAGACUGGGGGAGUUAGGUAACCCAGGCUGCCGUCCAUUGCAAAACAUCUGAAGAAGCUCUACAAGAUGCAUUUGUCACUGAAUUUGUAGCUUCAUGGAUGUGUGUGUACCUGCCAUUUAAUUUCCGUUAGUUCAACAAAAUAUAUAUAUAAAUAUCCCUAUUACUUGUAAAUGAACUUUCUUUAAAAGGACACUUUGAAAUAAUAUAUGGUCAAUGAUACGAGUUCCUUGGAAACUGCU